Molecule: long non-coding RNA, 1711 nt
Filed under: Homo sapiens (human)
Lineage: Eukaryota; Metazoa; Chordata; Mammalia; Primates; Hominidae
Description: non-protein coding lnc-FAM72D-3:2
Source: RNAcentral
AGAGGAAGAGGCUCCAGUGAGUUAUGAAGACAGCAUUUUCUUGACACCUCAGGUGCCAGGGUUGGACCUAAGAGGAGCACAAAGCCAACUUUGGGAGAAUGAGUAGAGCCCUUUACUGACAGAAAUUAGAAUGCAUUGCCUAGGGACUGGGAUGAAGAUUUGAGCCUGUAUCAGCUUUCGUCAGCUACAAUGGUGGUUUGAAGCCUCUUGUCUUUGUCCACAGUAAACACAUGGGUAGCCAUUCCCAUUAGUCAUGGCCUACAUACAGUUGAAAAAAGAAAAAUCAAUAUUCUUGGGGGAGGAUACCUUCCCUCUUGGCCAGUACCCCACUCCUACUGAAAAAUCAUGGAAUUGUGAGAAAAAGAAGGUAGACUUUGGAAAUGGAGAUUUCCAAUCUCCAGCUCUAAUUUCUCCCCUAAGCUCUUCGAUUUUUCCUCCCCAUUUCAGGUUUAAACUUUGUAAAUGUUCCACGUACACUUGAAAAGAAUGUGUAUCUGGCCGGGCGCGGUGGCUCACGCCUGUAAUCCCAGCACUUUGGGAGGCCGAGGCGGGCGGAUCACGAGGUCAGGAGAUCGAGACCAAGGUGAAACCCCGUCUCUACUAAAAAUACAAAAAAAAAGUUAGCCGGGCGUAGUGGCGGGCGCCUGUAGUCCCAGCUAUUCGGGAGGCUGAGGCAGGAGAAUGGCGUGAACCCGGGAGGCGGAGCUUGCAGUGAGCCAAGAUCGCACCACUGCACUCCAGCCUCGGUGACAGAGCGAAACUCCGUCUCAAAAAAAAAAAAAAAAAAAAGAAUGUGUAUCUACCCGCAGUUGUCAGGCGCAGUAUCCAUAUAUGUCAUUUAGGUCAAGUUUGUUGUAUUUUUACUGACUUUUUUGGUCUAGUUGUUUAAUCAUUCACUGAGACAGGUGUGUUAAAUCUCUCAUUAGGGUGAUGAUUUAUCUAGUUCCCAUUUUAAUUCUGUCCCAUUUGAUUUACAUAUUUUAAGCCUAUGUUAUUAAGUAUAUAUUUCUUCCUGGAAACUUAGUCUUUACUAGGAAAUGUCUCUCUCUCUUCUUUUUUGAGACAGAGUCUCACUCUAUCACCAGGCUGGAGUGCAGUGGCGCCAUCUCGGCUCACUGCAACCUCCGCCUCCUGGGUUCAAGUGAUUCCCCUGCCUCAGCCUCCCAAGUAGCUGGGACUACAGGUGUUCACCACCAUGCCUGGAUAAUUUUUUGUAUUUUAGUAAAGACAGAGAGUUUCACUAUUUUGGCCGGGAUGAUCUCGAACUCCUGACCUCAAGUGAUCUGCCUGCCUCGGCCUCCGAAAGUGCUGUGAUUACAGGAGUGAGCCACCAUGCCCAGCCUGGAAAUGUCUCUCUUUAUAACGAAAAAUACUUUUUGCAUUGAAAUCUACCUGGACUGCCUGGGCACGGUGGCUCAGGCUUGUAAUCCUAGCACCUUUUGAGGCCCAGGUGGGCAGAUCACUUGAGGUCAGGAGUUUGAGACCAGCCUGGCUGACAUGGUGAAACGCUGUCUCUACUAAAAAUACAAAAAUUAGCUGGGCAUGGUGGCGCAUGCCUGUAAUCCCAGCUAUCUGGGAGGCUGAGGUGGGAGAACUGCUUGAACCCAGGAGGCAGAGGUUGCAGUGAGCUGAGAUUGCACUACUGCCCUCCAGCCUGGGUGACAGAGCAAGACUCAGAAAAAAAAAAAAAAAGAAAGAAAAAAAAAGGACA